This 82-nucleotide transfer RNA is filed under the name Phycisphaerae bacterium. RNAcentral describes it as "tRNA-Leu". It matches the Rfam family "tRNA". From Rfam's summary of the family: Transfer RNA (tRNA) molecules are approximately 80 nucleotides in length. Their secondary structure includes four short double-helical elements and three loops (D, anti-codon, and T loops). Lineage: Bacteria; Pseudomonadati; Planctomycetota; Phycisphaerae. The record is from RNAcentral.
GCGCGAGUGGCGGAAUUGGCAGACGCGCCAGACUUAGGAUCUGGUGGUGAAAACCGUGGGGGUUCGAGUCCCCCCUCGCGCA